AGAAUUAAUAAUUGCAAUUCAUGAUUAAAUUUAUUGCCUUCUCUUAAACAUGAGAUAAAUGAAUAUGCAUGUACACUGAAUCACAAUAAAUCAUACACUACAUACUACUUCAGUCAUGCCAUUCUUCUGCUUAUAAUAAAAAAGAUUAAAAAAGAGAAAUGCAUAUUUUUAAAAUAUCAACUAUAAAACACUGCAAGUCCAAUGUUUGACAAAAUGCUACGAUUGUUCAUGACAUUCAUAAAAUACAAAGCCAGCUAUUCAUUAACAACAUUGUCCUAUGAUCAAAUUUAAAAUCUAGCAUUAAAAACCAACUCAAGUUAUACAAAAUCCUUUAACAUUAAUCGCUUUAAUUGCAGAAAAUAAUUUCAUAAACUGUCAGCUACAUAGUACACAAAUCUUACCGUUCUAAUUAACGAUUCAUUAAUAAAUGUACAAUCUUUUCCCGAAAUAGUUUGGCCAUUUUCAGACGGACAGACGAAAGUUACGAGAAAAACAUAGUAUUACAUAUACUCCUUAGGAGUGUGUUUGAACCUGAGCAGUCCAGCAUUUAAAAAAUUCUGCAAAGGUGCCGCUUCCUGAUCACACGAGGACGUAAUUCACGCGAGAGUUGUGUAAUCCCGACACGAGUCCCGUAACGGAGGGAGCUUUAUAAGCAGGUGCUCGGAAGAACUCCUCACUUCGAGUCCAAAGUCGCCAAUCACAACCAUCCAAAAUGAACAAAAUUGUCCUCUUUCUUGCUAUCCCAUGCGUCAUUGCUAUUGCUCUGAGCGCCAUGGAGGUAGAAGGCUUCGUGUACGGGAUGCAGACCCCAAUGUUCGGAGCCCAGCAGCAGGCGUACAGAAGCCAACAGCUGCUUGCUAUCGCCCAGAGAAACCGACUGAACAACCUGGCUCGUGUGUCCGAAUUCAGCAAAUUCGUAAACUACAUCCCUCUCGUGCUGUUGUUGACCACCCUAACCAACACCUCAUCCAUCCCCAUCAUCGGUUAAACACUCAAUAGAAAGAGGAACCUUUGGUCUACCAUCUGAAAGGUGAAAUGGAUUUUUAUCUGCGACCGACCAAAGAAAUAACAUCUUCACUCUGAGGACAAGGCAAAGAAUGCCCUCUCUUGUUCAUGAUUAAAGAAAUAAAUUAUAAUAAAUAUGAUCUUAU
Long non-coding RNA from Magallana angulata, 1151 nucleotides. RefSeq lists it as uncharacterized. NCBI's taxonomy places the organism in Eukaryota, Metazoa, Mollusca, Bivalvia, Ostreida, Ostreidae. The record is from RefSeq and is a predicted model, not a curated record. The transcript is spliced from 3 exons.